Molecule: long non-coding RNA, 888 nt
Filed under: Capra hircus (goat)
Lineage: Eukaryota; Metazoa; Chordata; Mammalia; Artiodactyla; Bovidae
Description: lncRNA (ENSCHIG00010032353.1)
Source: RNAcentral
AUGAGCAAGAGACAAAGCGACAAAGGGCCAAGUCAAGGAACAUCCCCGGGUAGGAUGAAUCAUAAAAGCCACGGAAAGUCACUUUCUUUUCGUGGCUCCAGGCUGCCGCCUCUGCAAAGGGAGACCGACGUGGAAGGGGCAAGGAGCUGGCACCACAGACAACAGGUCUUCCAAGCAAGAAUCGGGGAUCCUCCCUACUCCUUGCCUCGUGUUUGCUCUCCAGGUCUGAGACACCCCUACCCCCCAGCACUGCUGCCUCACCCCAGUGCCAGCCGUGGCUGCACAUGGGCUUGUCUAAACAAAUUGGUCAUUACCACCCUGAGGAAGCCCGAUGAACCUGCUGCAGCAGGAGCUGGACUUCUGCAAGAAGUCCCUUUGGUGGAUCUACUCAUUGAGGGGCAUCUCGAACACCCUGACGGGACAGGGCUCCUGGAGAAGACGAAUACCUGCCUCCCCGGCCACGGUGGAUGGACAUCACUCACCACCCUGAUCAUGGCUGAGACAGAGAACAGAGAUGACUCAAAAUACAAAUAACACUCAUUUGUCCCAUGGACCCAUUUAUCAACACGUUAAAACGCUGAAAUGCUCGAACUUGACUUUCAACCUUUCCCAGGAAUUUUCACAGAAAUCAGAAUACUCUAAAGCAUCCACACUCUGGGAUGGCAUGAGAAAUGAGCAAAGCUCUGAACUGAGUACUUAAGUGAUGAAGCACUUGACAAAAACAAGACAUGAAUUUGAACAGCAAUAACUUUGGGUUAUCACCAAUGUCAAGUUGAAUCUAUAUAUGUAUUCAUAUAUUAUAUAUAUCUCUUUCUUUAGAAAUGCAACUUUACAGCUGAUUUUUUAAAAAGCUAAUAGAAAAGUAGAAACUGACAAUCAUUUUUACAU